This 378-nucleotide unclassified non-coding RNA is filed under the name plant metagenome. Its description in RNAcentral is "partial contains 5.8S ribosomal RNA, internal transcribed spacer 2, and large subunit ribosomal RNA". The stretch from base 1 to 105 matches the Rfam family "5.8S ribosomal RNA", at positions 50 to 154 of the family's 154-position model. The record is from RNAcentral.
GAAAUGCGAUAAGUAAUGUGAAUUGCAGAAUUCAGUGAAUCAUCGAAUCUUUGAACGCACCUUGCGCUCCUUGGUAUUCCUUGGAGCAUGCCUGUUUGAGUAUCAUGAAAUCUUCAAAGUAAAUCUUUUGUUAACUCAAUUGGUUUCUACUCUGGUAUUGGAGGUCUUUGCAGCUUCACACCUGCUCCUCUUUGUUCAUUAGCUGGAUCUCAGUGUUAUGCUUGGUUCCACUCGGCGUGAUAAGUUAUCUAUCGCUGAGGACACUGUAAAAGGUGGCCAAGGUAAAUGCAGAUGAACCGCUUCUAAUAGUCCAUUGACUUGGACAAUACUUUUAUGAUCUGAUCUCAAAUCAGGUAGGACUACCCGCUGAACUUAAGC